This 439-nucleotide ribosomal RNA is filed under the name uncultured eukaryote. RNAcentral's name for it is "bacterial SSU rRNA". It matches the Rfam family "Eukaryotic small subunit ribosomal RNA", at positions 13 to 434 of the family's 1831-position model. The record is from RNAcentral.
CCUGACGGUAGUCGUAUGCUCGUCUCCGAGACUAAGCCAUGCAAGUCCAAGUACACGUCCUUGAACGACGGAAACUGCGAACGGCUCAUUAAAUCAGUUGCGAUCUACUCGGCGUUCCGCGCCGCCGGAUAACCGUAGUAAUUCUAGGGCUAAUACGUGCGAAGCGCCCGAAGCCGCGAGGCGACGGGCGUUCUCGCCGGAUGUAGGAACCGACCCGGGGACCGCCGGGGCAACCCGGCGCCCCCGAGACGGGGCGAACCACGGUGAAAUGACGGAUCGUCGGCCCCGCGCCGGCGACUCGCCGAAUGAGUUUCUGACCUAUCAACUCGAGACGGCGGGGUAGAGGCCGCCGCGGUAACGACGGGUAACGGGGAAUCAGGUUCGAUUCCGGAGAGGGAGCCCGAGAAACGGCUACCACUUCCAAGGAAGGCAGCAGGCG